RNAcentral lists this ribosomal RNA (433 nucleotides) under uncultured bacterium. RNAcentral describes it as "partial 16S ribosomal RNA". It matches the Rfam family "Bacterial small subunit ribosomal RNA", at positions 29 to 507 of the family's 1533-position model. The record is from RNAcentral.
AGCGAACGCUGGCGGCAGGCUUAACACAUGCAAGUCGAACGCAUCCUUCGGGGUGAGUGGCAGACGGGUGAGUAACACGUGGGAACGUACCCUUCGAUCUGGGAUAACUUCGGGAAACUGGAGCUAAUACCGGAUACGCCCUUUUGGGGAAAGGUUUACUGUCGAAGGAUCGGCCCGCGUCUGAUUAGCUAGUUGGUGGGGUAACGGCCUACCAAGGCGACGAUCAGUAGCUGGUCUGAGAGGAUGAUCAGCCACACUGGGACUGAGACACGGCCCAGACUCCUACGGGAGGCAGCAGUGGGGAAUAUUGGACAAUGGGCGCAAGCCUGAUCCAGCCAUGCCGCGUGAGUGAUGAAGGCCUUAGGGUUGUAAAGCUCCUUUGUCCGGGACGAUAAUGACGGUACCGGAAGAAUAAGCCCCGGCUAACUUCAUG